AAGUCGUAACAAGGUUUCCGUAGGUGAACCUGCGGAAGGAUCAUUAACACGUUCUACGUAUCAACCCUUCGUGCUCUUUGUUUUAUCAGUAACCUGUCAGAGGGGAAUUUUCUCAACUAGAGUUUAUGAUGGAUUGGAGCUGGUGAGGCUCUUUUCAGUUAGAAAUAACUGUCAAGGGCUUUAGGCAAUCUGUUAUUUAUUCGUUUUCUUUCGUAAGAGAGAAAGGUUGGUCCCUUCGCUUAUGUACAGGUGUUUACGUUUCUCUCUCACCUCUCGAGGCGAAAACUUAUUAAUUUAAAAAUUUAACCCCUUGUAACUUUAUUUACUGACUAAUUAUGUUCUGACUUGUGCUUAACGGCCGAGCUCAAACAUUUAUUACGAAAUGCUGAACAACUCUUAGCAACGGAUAUCUUGGUUCUC
Molecule: unclassified non-coding RNA, 420 nt
Filed under: fungal sp.
Lineage: Eukaryota; Fungi
Description: partial internal transcribed spacer region
Rfam family: Eukaryotic small subunit ribosomal RNA (bases 1-46)
Source: RNAcentral